Molecule: long non-coding RNA, 426 nt
Organism: Acipenser ruthenus (sterlet)
Lineage: Eukaryota; Metazoa; Chordata; Actinopteri; Acipenseriformes; Acipenseridae
Exons: 3
Source: RefSeq, a predicted model, not a curated record
UCUGGAUCAGUGGCUGUUACCUCUGCAGAAGAGUUAAGGUUACCCAACUAUUUGAUAUCAAAAACAACCCGAAGUGCCCCAGAAUUAGGGAAUAGGAAAAUGUAUGAAUUACCUUGUGACAAAUAUAAAUUCAUGGACACUCGCAGCCCUUCGGGUUAUAGGAGCUCCAAUUGGUUUAAAGCUUUCGGCGAGAAGACCGAAGAGAGCCCUAGGACCCCAAUUCAAUUACACACAGAACAUCGUCGUCUGAAAGGAAGUGUGAAUGUAAAUGAAAUUUUGAGCAUGGUGAAAGAUGUGAGUCUAAACAUGGAAAAGGAGAAAAACAGGAUUCAAAGCAGCACAUCAUAUCAACAACCACAUGUACCCACACCUUCAGAAACCGUUUGUCGUCCUGGAACUGCUUUUUCUCCCCAGUUUUGUUCAGGU